Archocentrus centrarchus (flier cichlid) is the source of this 535-nucleotide long non-coding RNA. RefSeq lists it as uncharacterized. The record is from RefSeq and is a predicted model, not a curated record. The transcript has 3 exons. Lineage: Eukaryota; Metazoa; Chordata; Actinopteri; Cichliformes; Cichlidae.
CAGUUAUUUCCCAGAGAUCCCUGCACUGUUGGCUGAUGUUAGAAGGUUCUAUCGAAGGACGCUGUAGAGAGGCUGAGAUGUUUGAGAGUCCCAGUGAGACUGAAGCUGCGCCUUUGAAAGCAGCUGAAGUCAAAUUGGGGAGUGAUGGAAUAACCAUAUCAACUCACUGUUGGGAGACUUCCAAAAACUCCUACUGUGAUGGCUCGAGUGUUGCUGAUGGGUCUGUUCAGUGUUGACAUCCUCAUGAAAUCAAACCUGACUGGAGGGAGGAAUAAGGUGGACCCUGCUGCUGAACGUCGCCAGGCUCUUGACAGGAAAAGGCUUUAGUUGAUGCUGUUGUCACCCACCAUCCUGGGGUGAAGAUUUCUGACAUCAGAAAAGCAAUCAAUGCAAGAAUUUGUGAAUUCAGGCAUCAAGUAAAGUGAAAGAAUGCUAUGAUGAAACUGAACAGAUUUAAAAGAAUUACUUGUUGGUUUGUUAAAAAUCAAAGUUGAAAAUGUUGAAUUUCAACUUGAAAAUGUUUGGAUGGUUGAAA